Molecule: non-coding RNA, 31 nt
Filed under: Homo sapiens (human)
Lineage: Eukaryota; Metazoa; Chordata; Mammalia; Primates; Hominidae
Source: RNAcentral
ACCCAGACAAAUGAGAAAUAAGGAAGCCUCC